GAUGAACGCUGGCGGCGUGCCUAAUACAUGCAAGUCGAGCGAACAGACGAGGAGCUUGCUCCUCUGACGUUAGCGGCGGACGGGUGAGUAACACGUGGAUAACCUACCUAUAAGACUGGGAUAACUUCGGGAAACCGGAGCUAAUACCGGAUAAUAUAUUGAACCGCAUGGUUCAAUAGUGAAAGACGGUUUUGCUGUCACUUAUAGAUGGAUCCGCGCCGCAUUAGCUAGUUGGUAAGGUAACGGCUUACCAAGGCAACGAUGCGUAGCCGACCUGAGAGGGGGAUCGGCCACACUGGAACUGAGACACGGUCCAGACUCCUACGGGAGGCAGCAGUAGGGAAUCUUCCGCAAUGGGCGAAAGCCUGACGGAGCAACGCCGCGUGAGUGAUGAAGGUAUUCGGAUCGUAAAACUCUGUUAUUAGGGAAGAACAAAUGUGUAAGUAACUAUGCACGUCUUGACGGUACCUAAUCAGAAAGCCACGGCUAACUACGUG
This 497-nucleotide ribosomal RNA is filed under the name uncultured bacterium. RNAcentral describes it as "partial 16S ribosomal RNA". It matches the Rfam family "Bacterial small subunit ribosomal RNA", at positions 28 to 507 of the family's 1533-position model. The record is from RNAcentral.